CUUCCAAAGACUUCCAUGCAGCUAGCAUGGAUGACAUCCUGGGUUGCACAUCCGCUUGAUUCUGUUAAGAGCUUUAGGAGACAGAUGGACCAGGAUAAGAUGUGUGAAGAACCGGUGCCCACUAACGAUUGAUCAGCCUGUAGGUGGUCUGCAGGCACCAUUGGAGGUGUGACAGGCAAACAUGUCCAGCAGAGCAGGCAGUCUAACCACCAAUCCUUUUAUAUAAGGUAUAGAGGCCGUGUAAGCUUAGUUUACACCAAAUAUAUGUACUGCUUUUAUUAUAAAGGUUGUUUUGUGGGAGAGAUCCGAAUGUCAGAUUCCAAUGUCUUUUACUGCAGGUGUUUUUGUAAGACAGAGGUAAAAAGGUGCAUUAUCUUGGAUUCUCCUAUACCUAUAACUGUAGAAUAUUUGAUUAGGAGAAUAAUUAGUGAGAAUAACAAGCAUGGCAAACUGAAGAAUUUAUGUCUAUAUGUCUAUGGAAGUUCUGUGCAUCCCCGGGAUGAGAGACUGCAUGUUGCUCUAGGUGUUUUACACAGGGUGCUGGGAUUUGGAUUGGAUGUUAAAUGGGUGUCCAGACUGUGUGUGGUCACCAUAGGUCCCAUGGCACUGAUUGUAAGAGAAGGGGUGUUUACCUGUGUGAUGGCAAAAUGUAAUCUCAUCAUGGCUACCUAACAUCCCCAUCUUCCAACUGGAUCAUCAUCUCUCCUUCUGUAACUAUUCGCAAGGUUGAUGCUGAAAAUCUCACCUGGUAAAAUAAUAAACUAAAAAUCUCACCUACUUAUCCAAACAUCUUUAAUUCAUCUGUCUUAAUUGCUCUAUUUCUCUUCACUGUUUCUGUCCAUCCCUUCAGUCACCAUGACUCUUAUCUCUCGUAUUUCAGAGCUCUGACGUUGCAGACUACCAAAGGACAGACAAGGCCCAUAACAACCAUUCUGGGAUUGAAACAAUAUAUCCGCUCACAUCACCCAGUAAUUGGGGGAAACUGGAAAGUUAACUGCCUGGAGCCCUAAACUCUGUCCCCAAUUCUGGCCAUCAGUGUUCUGAAUCACGAUGUUCCACCGUGGGUCCUGACUGCUGAGAACACUACCGGGCUAAAAAGACACAUGCCACUUAUCCUUCUACUAAUACCCAACAUGCAUCUGUGUAUUCAAAUAUUUCACAAGAUUACUUGGACACUGCAUACCACAUAAGGUAGUCCUUGGACUGUGUUUUAGGAUUACCUGGCCUGAUGUCUCCUAGUUGUCCCUGUCCAAAGUCCACCUAAUUUUGUUGCAGAUCUACACAGUGAUUAAAUUUCAUCCAGCACAGCCAGAAGUGGACCCCUCAGUCUGGCUCCUCUCUAGGUUUCUUCCUAAGUUCCUGUGACGACUGCACCCUCUGAUGCCUCUCCUCCCCCUGCAGCAGGCAGGCUCCAGCGGUCGACGUCACUGGUCUUCUAAAACCACCGCGCACCUCAUUUAUUAAUUUCACCUGUUGUCUUGUUUAGCGCACCUGGUCCUCAUCCUCAUCAUUCACCCCAGUAUAUAUGUUCCUUCUGCUUCCCCUGUCUUUGUUUGUUAUUGUCUCACCGUUUGUGAGCACAAGUCAGUGUUUCUGCAUUUUACUAAACUGUGUUUCGAAACAACUCCACGUCUCCUGCUCCUCAUUUUCGCCUCAGCCCUGACAGAAUAACAUAGCUUAAGAAGAAGAAAACAUGGAGCAUGGAGGAGCUCCAUGCCAGCCUGGGUGCCGCGAUGGACAGCAUCCUCAAAGCCGUGCAGCGCCUGGAGCUGAGCCAGCAGAGCCCCGCAACACCUGCGUUUGUGUUUAAAUAUAAUCUCUCCACCUAGUCCUGGGCCUACCCCGAGGUCUCCUCCCGGCUGGACAUGC
Molecule: long non-coding RNA, 1869 nt
Organism: Esox lucius (northern pike)
Lineage: Eukaryota; Metazoa; Chordata; Actinopteri; Esociformes; Esocidae
Exons: 3
Source: RefSeq, a predicted model, not a curated record